Non-coding RNA from Pelobates cultripes (western spadefoot toad), 240 nucleotides. NCBI's taxonomy places the organism in Eukaryota, Metazoa, Chordata, Amphibia, Anura, Pelobatidae. The record is from the annotation of a GenBank genome assembly.
CUCUGUUCUGGAUAGUCCUAGCUCCUUGGACCGAAAACUGCUGUCUUGGGCACAUUACAAGUUGCAUGUAUUUUUAUAAGCAUUUGCACAUUCUUGUUUCUUAGACUUGGAAAUCAAAGCAUUCAUGAGCAUUACAUUAGGAUUUAUGUUCCACUUUUAAGGUUAUUUUAUAAUGUCCAAAUAUUUUUAAGAGGUUUGAAUCUCAUUUACUGCACCCAGACUUAUUAUAUACAAUAAAAC